ACGGCAAGGGAAGAAUGUGAAUUUUCAAAUUGCUGCUGAGCAGUAGCUGUGUGUUAUAUUAGCCCUUUCUGAAAUGUGAAUUUUUAAGUCUUUUUCCCCCUUCUUUUUCUCAAAAUCGAUCCCCCCUUUCUUUUUCCCAAACCAUUUCUCCCUACCCCGAUUCCCUUUAUUUUUCCCCCAAUUUCCCCCAAUCGUUUUAAGGUUUUUUCCCCUUCUUUUUCCCAAAAUGGGUCCCCCGUUCUUUUUCCCAAACCGUUUCUCCCUACCCCGAUUCCCUUUUUUUUCCCCAGUUUCCCCAAAUCGUUUUAAGUCUUUUUCCCCCUUCUUUUUCCCAAAAUCGGUCCCCCCUUUCUUUUUCCCAAACCAUUUCUCCCUACCCCGAUUCCCUUUAUUUUUCCCCCAAUCUCCCCAAAUCGGCAGCCCUCUGCAUCUCCGUUGGCAGCCCACUGCUGCAUCUCCGUCGGCAGCCCUCUGCUGCUUCUCCUUGUAAGCUGAUGAUCUCUCUCUCUUUCUCUCGUUUUAGUUCAUGUGCUGGUGCAUUUGAAGGGACAAAAAUGGUUUCCUGUAGCCUCUGUGAUUGUGUUGUUUAAUCCCAAUCUAUGAGCAUUGCUCUCAUGUGUUUAUGAAUCCCAAGAUAAAGUUUGAUGUUGUUGAUCUCCGGUGAGAUACGAUAUACUAAUGCACCGUGAUGAAGCAUUGCUGGUAUAUGAGAUAUUGGAUAAUGCUGUUCAUGAGGCUCAAGCAGGUUUUGCAACACAAAUAGAUGUUUUACAUUCAGAUGGUUCCGUGAGCAUAACUGAUAAUGGGCGUGGGCCAAUAGGAGCAAUUUCUGAGGGGAAGACUGAUGUUAUGAAAUAGAUAAGGUUUCCACAGAUGCAGCAGAAAUCUGCUAGUAAUACUGUUCAAAGACAAGCAAAAAGGCAGCACUACCUUGUUCCAUAAGAGAAAUUUUAGAAAAGGAAAAGAAGAACCGGUAUGUCAUUCAUUUGCCUUCUUAUGCUGGGCCAACAAGUUAUUCAAGCACUUAACUACAAUUCUGGUGAUUAUCAGACAGCUGGAGGUUACCCAAAUAGCAGUUACACUGAUCAGACUACCACAUGGAAUGGGAGCAAUUAUGCAAAUUAUACUACUCAGCAUUAUACUACCAGGUUUGAGUUUUUAUUGGAUGCAUGAUCUAGGAUUAGCUGAAUUCAUGCAUAGUGACGACUUGUUUGAGCUAAUUGCUGAUCUUAAAGUGUGCAUUCUAUCAUUAUUCUGUUCUUAAACUCCCUCGAGUCCUCCAAUGAGGAGAUAUUUGACUCAUAUUUUUCAGGGAGAGUUGUGAUGACCUUUUCAACAACUCUACUUUCACUAAAAUCAUCACCAAGUAGCCUAAUGUUGUUGACUGUGGCCAUUACCCUAUCAGAAUACUACUUGAUGGUCUCUAA
This is a long non-coding RNA of Gossypium arboreum, 1427 nucleotides long. RefSeq lists it as uncharacterized. The record is from RefSeq and is a predicted model, not a curated record. Lineage: Eukaryota; Viridiplantae; Streptophyta; Magnoliopsida; Malvales; Malvaceae. The transcript has 5 exons.